CGAAAGAGUAGCUAAUACCCCAUAGUAUUCCGGUUUAUCCGGAUUUAAAGAUUUAUCGCUUCGGGAGGGGCCUGCGUCUGAUUAGCUUUGUUGGUGGGUAAAAGCUCACCAAGGCGACGAUCAGUAGCUGGUUCGAGAGGACGACCAGCCACACUGGGACUGAGAUACGGCCCAGACUCCUACGGGAGGCAGCAGUGAGGAAUCUUCCACAAUGGACGAAAGUCUGAUGGAGCAAUACCGCGUGCAGGACGACGCUUUUCGGAGUGUAAACUGCUUUUGUCGUCGAAGAUUAUGACUGUAGACGAAGAAUAAGGACCGGCUAACUACGUG
This 330-nucleotide ribosomal RNA is filed under the name uncultured bacterium. RNAcentral describes it as "bacterial SSU rRNA". It matches the Rfam family "Bacterial small subunit ribosomal RNA", at positions 152 to 507 of the family's 1533-position model. The record is from RNAcentral.